UACAGAGGGUGCGAGCGUUAAUCGGAAUUACUGGGCGUAAAGCGCACGUAGGUGGCGACGUAAGUCGGGUGUGAAAGCCCCGGGCUCAACCUGGGAAUUGCAUUCGAGACUGCAUUGCUGGAGUACGGAAGAGGAAGGCGGAAUUCCCGGUGUAGCGGUGAAAUGCGUAGAGAUCGUAAGGAAGACCAGUGGCGAAGGCGAGUCUCUGGAAAGCUGCUGACGCUGAGGCACGAAGGCCAGGGGAGCAAACGGG
RNAcentral lists this ribosomal RNA (253 nucleotides) under uncultured bacterium. Its description in RNAcentral is "partial 16S ribosomal RNA". It matches the Rfam family "Bacterial small subunit ribosomal RNA", at positions 524 to 776 of the family's 1533-position model. The record is from RNAcentral.